UCCAGCAAUAUAUGUGAUAAAAAUAAAUUAAAAUAAACUCAAAUGAAAUAGAAAAUAUCUAUAAAAUUCAAUUAUAUCAGUUCUACUUUCCUCCCCCUCCAAGACUAUGCGAGCGUCCCCUAACCUCUCUGGCUACCAUGAUUAAACAUGCAUGUGAUCACCAAAUAAAUAUGGGAAGAUGAUGAAAGAGAGGAGACGACUAAAUUGGGUUUGAUGGAGUCUUUAGUGUUUGGCCCUUCUUAUUUUCCUU
This 250-nucleotide long non-coding RNA is filed under the name Carica papaya (papaya). RNAcentral's name for it is "long non-coding RNA (CPAP_LNC015503)". Lineage: Eukaryota; Viridiplantae; Streptophyta; Magnoliopsida; Brassicales; Caricaceae. The record is from RNAcentral.